GUACUUUCGAGUACACAUACUAAAAUUGGAACGAUACAGAGAAGAUUAGCAUGGCCCCUGCGCAAGGAUGACACGCAAAAUCGUGAAGCGUUCCACAUUUUU
Molecule: small nuclear RNA, 102 nt
Filed under: Galendromus occidentalis (western predatory mite)
Lineage: Eukaryota; Metazoa; Arthropoda; Arachnida; Mesostigmata; Phytoseiidae
Source: RNAcentral